CCGGAGGGAAACCGAGUCUUAACCGGGCGUUAAGUUGCAGGGUAUAGACCCGAAACCCGGUGAUCUAGCCAUGGGCAGGUUGAAGGUUGGGUAACACUAACUGGAGGACCGAACCGACUAAUGUUGAAAAAUUAGCGGAUGACCUGUGGCUGGGGGUGAAAGGCCAAUCAAACCGGGAGAUAGCUGGUUCUCCCCGAAAGCUAUUUAGGUAGCGCCUCGUGAAUUCAUCUCCGGGGGUAGAGCACUGUUUCGGCUAGGGGGCCAUCCCGGCUUACCAACCCGAUGCAAACUGCGAAUACCGGAGAAUGUUAUCACGGGAGACACACGGCGGGUGCUAACGUCCGUCGUGAAGAGGGAAACAACCCAGACCGCCAGCUAAGGUCCCAAAGUCAUGGUUAAGUGGGAAACGAUGUGGGAAGGCCCAGACAGCCAGGAUGUUGGCUUAGAAGCAGCCAUCAUUUAAAGAAAGCGUAAUAGCUCACUGGUCGAGUCGGCCUGCGCGGAAGAUGUAACGGGGCUAAACCAUGCACCGAAGCUGCGGCAGCGACACUGUGUGUUGUUGGGUAGGGGAGCGUUCUGUAAGCCUGUGAAGGUGUGUCGUGAGGCAUGCUGGAGGUAUCAGAAGUGCGAAUGCUGACAUAAGUAACGAUAAAGCGGGUGAAAAGCCCGCUCGCCGGAAGACCAAGGGUUCCUGUCCAACGUUAAUCGGGGCAGGGUGAGUCGACCCCUAAGGCGAGGCCGAAAGGCGUAGUCGAUGGGAAACGGGUUAAUAUUCCCGUACUUGGUGUUACUGCGAAGGGGGGACGGAGAAGGCUAUGUUGGCCGGGCGACGGUUGUCCCGGUUUAAGCGUGUAGGUGUGUGUUCCAGGUAAAUCCGGUUCACUUUAACACUGAGGCGUGACGACGAGGCACUACGGUGCUGAAGCAACAAAUGCCCUGCUUCCAGGAAAAGCCUCUAAGCAUCAGGUAACAUCAAAUCGUACCCCAAACCGACACAGGUGGUCAGGUAGAGAAUACCAAGGCGCUUGAGAGAACUCGGGUGAAGGAACUAGGCAAAAUGGUGCCGUAACUUCGGGAGAAGGCACGCUGACACGUAGGUGAAGUGAUUUACUCAUGGAGCUGAAGUCAGUCGAAGAUACCAGCUGGCUGCAACUGUUUAUUAAAAACACAGCACUGUGCAAACACGAAAGUGGACGUAUACGGUGUGACGCCUGCCCGGUGCCGGAAGGUUAAUUGAUGGGGUCAGCGCAAGCGAAGCUCCUGAUCGAAGCCCCGGUAAACGGCGGCCGUAACUAUAACGGUCCUAAGGUAGCGAAAUUCCUUGUCGGGUAAGUUCCGACCUGCACGAAUGGCGUAAUGAUGGCCAGGCUGUCUCCACCCGAGACUCAGUGAAAUUGAACUCGCUGUGAAGAUGCAGUGUACCCGCGGCAAGACGGAAAGACCCCGUGAACCUUUACUAUAGCUUGACACUGAACAUUGAGCCUUGAUGUGUAGGAUAGGUGGGAGGCUUUGAAGUGUGGACGCCAGUCUGCAUGGAGCCGACCUUGAAAUACCACCCUUUAAUGUUUGAUGUUCUAACGUGGACCCGUUACCCGGGUUGCGGACAGUGUCUGGUGGGUAGUUUGACUGGGGCGGUCUCCUCCUAAAGAGUAACGGAGGAGCACGAAGGUUGGCUAAUCCUGGUCGGACAUCAGGAGGUUAGUGCAAUGGCAUAAGCCAGCUUGACUGCGAGCGUGACGGCGCGAGCAGGUGCGAAAGCAGGUCAUAGUGAUCCGGUGGUUCUGAAUGGAAGGGCCAUCGCUCAACGGAUAAAAGGUACUCCGGGGAUAACAGGCUGAUACCGCCCAAGAGUUCAUAUCGACGGCGGUGUUUGGCACCUCGAUGUCGGCUCAUCACAUCCUGGGGCUGAAGUAGGUCCCAAGGGUAUGGCUGUUCGCCAUUUAAAGUGGUACGCGAGCUGGGUUUAGAACGUCGUGAGACAGUUCGGUCCCUAUCUGCCGUGGGCGCUGGAGAACUGAGGGGGGCUGCUCCUAGUACGAGAGGACCGGAGUGGACGCAUCACUGGUGUUCGGGUUGUCAUGCCAAUGGCACUGCCCGGUAGCUAAAUGCGGAAGAGAUAAGUGCUGAAAGCAUCUAAGCACGAAACUUGCCCCGAG
Molecule: ribosomal RNA, 2156 nt
Filed under: Salmonella enterica
Lineage: Bacteria; Pseudomonadati; Pseudomonadota; Gammaproteobacteria; Enterobacterales; Enterobacteriaceae
Description: partial 23S ribosomal RNA
Rfam family: Bacterial large subunit ribosomal RNA
Source: RNAcentral